RNAcentral lists this non-coding RNA (265 nucleotides) under Clostridium sp. RNAcentral's name for it is "T-box sequence". It matches the Rfam family "T-box leader". Rfam says of the family: Uncharged tRNA acts as the effector for transcription antitermination of genes in the T-box leader family. T-boxes are found upstream of many aminoacyl-tRNA synthetase genes and some amino acid biosynthetic genes usually in Gram-positive bacteria. The record is from RNAcentral. Lineage: Bacteria; Bacillati; Bacillota; Clostridia; Eubacteriales; Clostridiaceae.
UUAAAAACUAUGAUGAGAAGAGUAAAUAGCCAAAUUUUUCUACAGAGAGCUUCCGUUGCUGAGAGGAAGUGAAAGAUUAUCUAUUGAAAAAAGCCUCUGAGUUGUGCAUUGAACCUUAGUUUACUUAAGGGGAUGAUGUAACGGGAGCUCCCGUUAUAGAGCUAGAGUAUAAUCUUUUUUUAAAAGCCGUACUUGAAAAGGUUAAUAUGGUGACAUAUUAACGAACUGGGGUGGUACCACGAAGUAAGUAGCUCUCGUCCCCAAG